Molecule: long non-coding RNA, 699 nt
Organism: Myotis daubentonii (Daubenton's bat)
Lineage: Eukaryota; Metazoa; Chordata; Mammalia; Chiroptera; Vespertilionidae
Source: RefSeq, a predicted model, not a curated record
CGAGGGCCGCGGCGCCUCUCCGUGGAGCCGCCCAGUCCCGUGUCGGGGAAGCGCGGCUGCGGAUCCAGCGGCGUCAGCGCAGCCUGCACGGGGCUUGGCUUCUCUGGGGGCUGCGGAGGGGUCUCGGUGGUCCUCCUGCGGAGCGCGAAGCCAUCACAGAUGAAGACGAAACAUUCCCCCACCACCCGGGAGGCAGGCCUCGCUGACAGGCGGCGGGGAAGGCAGGUCUGCGAAGCUCUGCUCGGCGGGCCCCUUACUGACCCGGAGGCCGGAGGCCGCCGCCGCCCCGGGAAGGAGGAAGCCACACCAGGUCAAUGCAGCCUCUGUCCUCCUGGUUCUUCACGGGAAGGAAUCUAUGUCUCGUUUCUGUCACGUUGGCUCGUUGUGUGAUAUUUUAUUGAAAAUCUGUUGCAUCAUAAAAAAACAAAAACAAAACUCAUUCUUCCGAUAGGUGAAGCUGAGGGCAUAAAACAAAUGACCUUUGUGGGUUUUGGUAAAAGUUGUCUUGGCAAUAAAGUAUUUAAUUUGACAACAGGAAAAAAGGGGAAGCAUUUCAUAAAUGAAGCAAGGAUUUAAUCGUGUGCACUGUAUAUCUAUGCGCAUAUACAAGUAUUGUGUUCUGAGUGAUAAGAGCUUGAUUUGAUUCCUUAAAUAUUCGAUGGUUCAUAAAAGUAAUAAAAUAUAUUGCCACAAAUUCCA